UUUUCAGGACUAAAACUGGAGGGAUACAAAGAAGAUAAAGAGAUAUGGAGAAGUUUAACAUGGCCCCUGUGCAAAGAUGACAUGCAAAUUUUUGAAGUGUUUCAUAUUCUU
Molecule: small nuclear RNA, 111 nt
Organism: Hemicordylus capensis (graceful crag lizard)
Lineage: Eukaryota; Metazoa; Chordata; Lepidosauria; Squamata; Cordylidae
Source: RefSeq, a predicted model, not a curated record